Molecule: ribosomal RNA, 439 nt
Filed under: uncultured bacterium
Lineage: Bacteria
Description: partial 16S ribosomal RNA
Rfam family: Bacterial small subunit ribosomal RNA
Source: RNAcentral
CUACGGGGUGCUCCAGUGAGGAAUAUUGCACAAUGGGGGGAACCCUGAUGCAGCAACGCCGCGUGGAGGAUGACGCAUUUCGGUGUGUAAACUCCUUUUAUAUGUCAAGAAAAUGACGGUAGCAUAUGAAUAAGCACCGGCUAACUCCGUGCCAGCAGCCGCGGUAAUACGGAGGGUGCAAGCGUUACUCGGAAUCACUGGGCGUAAAGGACGCGUAGGCGGGUUGGAAAGUCAGGUGUGAAAUCCUACAGCUUAACUGUAGAACUGCACUUGAAACUUCUAAUCUAGAGUAUGGGAGGGGGAGAUGGAAUUAGUGGUGUAGGGGUAAAAUCCGUAGAUAUCACUAGGAAUACCUAACGCGAAGGCGAUCUCCUGGAACAUUGCUGACGCUAAGGCGUGAAAGCGUGGGGAGCAAACAGGAUUAGAUACCCUUGUAGUC